RNAcentral lists this ribosomal RNA (433 nucleotides) under uncultured bacterium. RNAcentral describes it as "partial 16S ribosomal RNA". It matches the Rfam family "Bacterial small subunit ribosomal RNA", at positions 29 to 507 of the family's 1533-position model. The record is from RNAcentral.
AACGAACGCUGGCGGCAUGCCUAACACAUGCAAGUCGAACGAUCCCUUCGGGGAUAGUGGCGCACGGGUGCGUAACGCGUGGGAACCUGCCCUUAGGUUCGGAAUAACUCAGAGAAAUUUGAGCUAAUACCGGAUAAUGUCUUCGGACCAAAGAUUUAUCGCCUUUGGAUGGGCCCGCGUUGGAUUAGCUAGUUGGUGGGGUAAAGGCCUACCAAGGCGACGAUCCAUAGCUGGUCUGAGAGGAUGAUCAGCCACACUGGGACUGAGGCACGGCCCAGACUCCUACGGGAGGCAGCAGUGGGGAAUAUUGGACAAUGGGCGAAAGCCUGAUCCAGCAAUGCCGCGUGAGUGAUGAAGGCCUUAGGGUUGUAAAGCUCUUUUACCCGGGAUGAUAAUGACAGUACCGGGAGAAUAAGCCCCGGCUAACUCCGUG